UACGGAGGGGGCUAGCGUUGUUCGGAAUUACUGGGCGUAAAGCGCAUGUAGGCGGCUUUGCAAGUCAGAGGUGAAAGCCCGGGGCUCAACCCCGGAAUUGCCUUUGAGACUGCAUCGCUAGAAUUGUGGAGAGGUAAGUGGAAUUCCGAGUGUAGAGGUGAAAUUCGUAGAUAUUCGGAAGAACACCAGUGGCGAAGGCGACUUUCUGGACACAUAUUGACGCUGAGGUGCGAAAGCGUGGGUAGCAAACAGG
This 253-nucleotide ribosomal RNA is filed under the name uncultured bacterium. RNAcentral's name for it is "partial 16S ribosomal RNA". It matches the Rfam family "Bacterial small subunit ribosomal RNA", at positions 524 to 776 of the family's 1533-position model. The record is from RNAcentral.